AAGCUCAGUCAAUAACUGAAGAUUUUUUUUCCUUGGUAGAAGAGACUUCUUUACUACCUAUUGUUAUUUUAGGUACACAGUGAUGCUUGCUUUCUGCAUGUGGGGAGAUUACACUCUACCACACUAUUUGUUUUCAUUAGUGUGGUGAGGGCGGAGAAGUACAUCAGUGUGUAACCCCAGAGCAGGAGUAAUGUGCAGAGGUUUCAGGCCCCAGUUAACAGUCAAGACAGAAGUUAAACUAAGAAGACAGAAGAGCUUCUCUCCUUAUCUUUGUGCUGGCAGUAGUGAGACAUCAUCUGACUUCUCAAAAAACUCUUAGCUCGUUGAGGCAAAGAAAAUGACCUUGCUUUGGCUAUGGACUGGAAAAAAGCAAGCUACUGUUACCUCACAAAAGUCUGACUCACUCAUCCUCUGGAAAGGUGCUUGCCUUUUUCCCCACUGACUGCAUCAGGGGCCUGAGCAACAUGCCCAACUAAGGUGCUGUGUACCUGGAGGCACUUUGUGACAAAACAUGAUCUCUCAGUAUGCUGUGGACCAUUCUUGCCUGUGCCACUUCCAUCAAAGAUAAUUACUUCUUAUUG
Lagopus muta (rock ptarmigan) is the source of this 581-nucleotide long non-coding RNA. RefSeq lists it as uncharacterized. The record is from RefSeq and is a predicted model, not a curated record. The transcript is spliced from 3 exons. NCBI's taxonomy places the organism in Eukaryota, Metazoa, Chordata, Aves, Galliformes, Phasianidae.